RNAcentral lists this ribosomal RNA (397 nucleotides) under uncultured bacterium. Its description in RNAcentral is "partial 16S ribosomal RNA". It matches the Rfam family "Bacterial small subunit ribosomal RNA", at positions 523 to 918 of the family's 1533-position model. The record is from RNAcentral.
AUACGUAGGGUGCAAGCGUUGUCCGGAAUUAUUGGGCGUAAAGCGCGCGCAGGUGGUUCCUUAAGUCUGAUGUGAAAGCCCCCGGCUCAACCGGGGAGGGUCAUUGGAAACUGGGGAACUUGAGUGCAGAAGAGGAUAGUGGAAUUCCAAGUGUAGCGGUGAAAUGCGUAGAGAUUUGGAGGAACACCAGUGGCGAAGGCGACUGUCUGGUCUGUAACUGACACUGAGGCGCGAAAGCGUGGGGAGCAAACAGGAUUAGAUACCCUGGUAGUCCACGCCGUAAACGAUGAGUGCUAAGUGUUGGGGGGUUUCCGCCCCUCAGUGCUGCAGCUAACGCAUUAAGCACUCCGCCUGGGGAGUACGGUCGCAAGACUGAAACUCAAAUGAAUUGGCGGGG